CAGUGAGAAGCUUCAAUCAAACAACUCAUUUAUUUUCAAAUCAUUGUUUCUGUUCCAGAUCACAGCCUGCAUCAGACUAUGUUGGUGUACGUCUUUUACACAGUUCCCAUUCCAGUCAUCACUGCUUACAUGACUACAUGAAAACAUCAAAAAGACAAUUGUGAUUCUGCUUAUUAUCUGUUUUAUUUUUCUUCUUAGCAAACUUUUUCUAAUACAAUUUUUCUUUUGACUAGACACAAACAGCACAGCAUGAUUCUUGUUCCCAUGAACACACCUGGAGUAAAAAUAAUAAGGCCUUUGUCAGUUUUUGGCUACACAGAUAAUUUUCAUGGAGGACAUUUUGAGAUCCAUUUUAAUCAAGUGCGAGUUCCUGCCACAAAUCUAAUACUAGGUGAAGGUAGGGGAUUUGAAAUUUCCCAAGGCCGCCUUGGACCUGGCAGAAUCCACCACUGUAUGAGAACAGUAGGUUUGGCGGAACGCGCUUUGCAGAUCAUGUGUGAGCGGGCAACACAAAGGAUAGCUUUCAAGAAGAAGUUGUAUGCACAUGUGAGGACGAUUACUUAUUUGAAUUUAUUGUAGCCCGGUGCACUACACUAACAUUGAACAAAAACAUUACUUGUGAGAGACAGACUUUCUCUACAUGAACCGGGUGAUUCUUUUCAAUAAGGCAUAUUUAUGUCUGUAUUUAAAUAUAGUCUAAUGAGAGGUAUUUAUCUUUAUGAAAAAUUAAAUAGUUCCUAAAAUGCUUCAACACCUCUGCACACAAGAGUGUAGACAGUUCCUUCAACUUUCUCAGAUUCUUGUUCUUUAGAGAACCUGGAACAUUAGAGCUCCCUGUGGACAUGAAGGAGCUGUCAUAAGGAAGAAGGAUUUGCCUUGUCCAUUGGUUUCCUAGAAGGAAUUAGGACACAUAAGUGUAAAGUUACAGG
RNAcentral lists this long non-coding RNA (929 nucleotides) under Homo sapiens (human). RNAcentral describes it as "HSALNT0060690". Lineage: Eukaryota; Metazoa; Chordata; Mammalia; Primates; Hominidae. The record is from RNAcentral.